RNAcentral lists this ribosomal RNA (301 nucleotides) under uncultured bacterium. RNAcentral describes it as "partial 16S ribosomal RNA". It matches the Rfam family "Bacterial small subunit ribosomal RNA", at positions 509 to 807 of the family's 1533-position model. The record is from RNAcentral.
CAGUAGCCGCGGUAAUACGAACCGUGCGAACGUUAUUCGGAAUUACUGGGCUUAAAGCGCGUGUAGGCGGCUCGGCACGUCGGACGUUGAAAGCCCCCGGCUCAACCGGGGAAGUGGCGCCGACACGGCCGAGCUGGAGGGAGGUAGGGGGGUCUGGAACUUCCGGUGGAGCGGUGAAAUGCGUUGAGAUCGGAAGGAACGCCCGUGGCGAAAGCGAGGCCCUGGACCUUUUCUGACGCUGAGACGCGAAAGCCAGGGGAGCGAACGGGAUUAGAUACCCCCGUAGUCCCUGUCUCUUAUA